Molecule: ribosomal RNA, 253 nt
Filed under: uncultured bacterium
Lineage: Bacteria
Description: partial 16S ribosomal RNA
Rfam family: Bacterial small subunit ribosomal RNA
Source: RNAcentral
UACGGAGGGUGCUAGCGUUGUUCGGAAUGACUGGGCGUAAAGGGCGCGUAGGCGGCUCGUGAAGUCGGGUGUGAAAGCCCGGGGCUCAACCCCGGAACGGCAUCCGAUACUGGCGGGCUUGAGUCCGGGAGAGGAGGGUGGAAUACCCAGUGUAGAGGUGAAAUUCGUAGAUAUUGGGGGGAACACCGGUGGCGAAAGCGGCUCUCUGGCCCGGAUCUGACGCUGAGGCGCGAAAGCGUGGGGAGCAAACAGG